AUGUCUACACUAGGUAAAGAAACCCUAGUCUAUCCAGUCUCUGCUAGAAGAUUUCUAAUAAGGCGGAUGGGUAGAAUCAACAUAAAUGAAGGAUCACUAAAGGCAAUCCAGAAAUUCAACAGCUGCUUAACUGCUGACUAUAUUACUACAUUCAGGAUGUUCCACUACCAAAGAAGAAGGCAAUCUUGCUUUACAGUCCCACCCAGAGUGCUGACUUCCACUUGAGUUGUAUCCAAUCAUGGUUUUUAUUGUAAAGGAAACCCAUGAAAUUCCAUCCAAGGAGAGCUGCUCUGAGGAUGGAUGGUUAUUCUCCUUGGCAUCACAUUACUGAUUAAAGUAAGCUGGAUUCUCCUGCCUACCUCUCUUACAAAGCUCAGUCAUUUAAGGUAGUUGAAUUCUCUGUUAAAACUUUGCAAGUUGAUUAAUAGUCAAAUUAUAAAGAAUCUUCAUCUGCACCAACUUAAUGCAAUGUUGCAUAUUUUAUUCUGUUUUUCUAUGUCUCUUAACCCCCAAAAGAAAGAGAAAACUUCCAUCUCAACUCUAUUUCUGGGAGAUACAAUCCUAAAUUGAUCCAGUGAUAUCCUUGUUUCUCUUGGCACACCAUUCUAGCUAUUCUGAGUCCUAGUCCUAUGAAGAUAAACUGAUGAUAAGUCUUAAGCUGUCAUAGAGAAGGAAAUCCAUAUACCUAGUUACCAUUUAAUCAUUGUGACAAGAUUUAUUCUGACAUAUUGCCUUUCCAAUUAGGAAAAAAAAUAGGAAAAUGUACUAAGGACCAAUGAAUGAAUAUAUUUUUCCUGACAAACUUUCACUUCAAUCCUUCCUAGUCUAUGAAUGGAGACAAUGACUAAUAAUCUCUUCUGUCCUUUUUGUGGGGGAAAGGGGUAUGGAUGCUUUCAGCUCCUGAAGAGGAACUGUUUUCAUCCUUAAUUGAUUAUGGGGAAAUGAGGCAUUUAAAGAAUUUCAAAUUCAACUCUGUUUUUUUUCCAGUUGCUAAUUUAACCCUGGAAAUGAACUAAGGCUGGAGGAUUCUUGUCCUAAUCUUAGAUAGCCAUAGUCUUCCCUUCUUCAUUGAGUUUCCUUUCCUAAAUGAGACUUCGGUAGAAAUGAUCAUAAAUAUCUUAACUUCUAGGAAUCCAUGGACAUUUGUGUAAGAAGAAGAUCAAUAAGUUCUUAUUUUUUAUUUUUUAGUUGAGGCAUUUUGUCAUAUUUUUCUUAAAUGCUUUAA
Molecule: long non-coding RNA, 1225 nt
Filed under: Monodelphis domestica (gray short-tailed opossum)
Lineage: Eukaryota; Metazoa; Chordata; Mammalia; Didelphimorphia; Didelphidae
Description: lncRNA (ENSMODG00000050962.1)
Source: RNAcentral